This 38-nucleotide transfer RNA is filed under the name Saccharomyces cerevisiae YJM1447. Its description in RNAcentral is "partial tRNA-Glu". Lineage: Eukaryota; Fungi; Ascomycota; Saccharomycetes; Saccharomycetales; Saccharomycetaceae. The record is from RNAcentral.
UCACCGUGGAGACCGGGGUUCGACUCCCCGCUUCGGAG